GUCCUUUUGAAUUUAAUUUAAGGUUUAACCUGCCCACUGAAAUUUUUUGAAGGGCCGCAGUAAUUUGACUGUGCAAAGGUAGCAUAAUCAUUAGUUUUUUAAUUGAAAGCUUGUAUGAAGGGUUGGACGAGGUAAAUUCUGUCUCUAUUUAAUUUUAUAUAGAAUUUAAUUUUUAAGUUAAAAAGCUUAAAUUUUUUUAAAAGACGAGAAGACCCUAUAGAUCUUUAUAUUAAAAAUAUUAAUUUUAAUUAAGAAUAUUUAAUUUUUUAGUAUUUAUAAUAUUUUAUUGGGGUAAUAAAAAGAUUAAAAUAAUUCUUUUUUUAUUUUAACAUUUAUUUAUGAUUAUAUGAUCCAAUUUUAUUGAUUAAAAGAUUAAGUUACCUUAGGGAUAACAGCGUAAUUUUUUUAGAGAGUUCAUAUCGAUAAAAAAGUUUGCGACCUCGAUGUUGGAUUAAAAAUUAUCUUAGGUGCAGAAGUUUAAGAUUUUGGUCUGUUCGACCAUUAAAUUUUU
This 511-nucleotide ribosomal RNA is filed under the name Agabus thomsoni. Its description in RNAcentral is "partial 16S ribosomal RNA". The stretch from base 388 to 511 matches the Rfam family "Bacterial large subunit ribosomal RNA", at positions 2473 to 2597 of the family's 2925-position model. Lineage: Eukaryota; Metazoa; Arthropoda; Insecta; Coleoptera; Dytiscidae. The record is from RNAcentral.